UGGGGAAUAUUGCACAAUGGGCGAAAGCCUGAUGCAGCAACGCCGCGUGAGGGAUGACGGCCUUCGGGUUGUAAACCUCUUUUAGUAGGGAAGAAGCUAAAGUGACGGUACCUGCAGAAAAAGCACCGGCUAACUACGUGCCAGCAGCCGCGGUAAUACGUAGGGUGCAAGCGUUGUCCGGAAUUAUUGGGCGUAAAGAGCUCGUAGGCGGUUUGUCGCGUCUGCUGUGAAAUCCCGAGGCUCAACCUCGGGUCUGCAGUGGGUACGGGCAGACUAGAGUGUGGUAGGGGAGAUUGGAAUUCCUGGUGUAGCGGUGGAAUGCGCAGAUAUCAGGAGGAACACCGAUGGCGAAGGCAGAUCUCUGGGCCAUUACUGACGCUGAGGAGCGAAAGCAUGGGGAGCGAACA
This 407-nucleotide ribosomal RNA is filed under the name uncultured bacterium. Its description in RNAcentral is "partial 16S ribosomal RNA". It matches the Rfam family "Bacterial small subunit ribosomal RNA", at positions 355 to 774 of the family's 1533-position model. The record is from RNAcentral.